UAAACUCCUUCUUAAAUAGGGGUUCGGUCCCCCUCCCAUUAGGGAGGGGUCCCUCACUCCUUCGGGGUUCGGUCCCCACGGGUCCCU
Molecule: transfer RNA, 87 nt
Filed under: Saccharomyces cerevisiae (brewer's yeast)
Lineage: Eukaryota; Fungi; Ascomycota; Saccharomycetes; Saccharomycetales; Saccharomycetaceae
Description: tRNA-Asn
Source: RNAcentral